Molecule: ribosomal RNA, 1539 nt
Filed under: Klebsiella pneumoniae
Lineage: Bacteria; Pseudomonadati; Pseudomonadota; Gammaproteobacteria; Enterobacterales; Enterobacteriaceae
Description: bacterial SSU rRNA
Rfam family: Bacterial small subunit ribosomal RNA
Source: RNAcentral
AAAUUGAAGAGUUUGAUCAUGGCUCAGAUUGAACGCUGGCGGCAGGCCUAACACAUGCAAGUCGAGCGGUAGCACAGAGAGCUUGCUCUCGGGUGACGAGCGGCGGACGGGUGAGUAAUGUCUGGGAAACUGCCUGAUGGAGGGGAUAACUACUGGAAACGGUAGCUAAUACCGCAUAACGUCGCAAGACCAAAGUGGGGACCUUCGGGCCUCAUGCCAUCAGAUGUGCCCAGAUGGGAUUAGCUAGUAGGUGGGGUAACGGCUCACCUAGGCGACGAUCCCUAGCUGGUCUGAGAGGAUGACCAGCCACACUGGAACUGAGACACGGUCCAGACUCCUACGGGAGGCAGCAGUGGGGAAUAUUGCACAAUGGGCGCAAGCCUGAUGCAGCCAUGCCGCGUGUGUGAAGAAGGCCUUCGGGUUGUAAAGCACUUUCAGCGGGGAGGAAGGCGUUAAGGUUAAUAACCCAUUGGCGAUUGACGUUACCCGCAGAAGAAGCACCGGCUAACUCCGUGCCAGCAGCCGCGGUAAUACGGAGGGUGCAAGCGUUAAUCGGAAUUACUGGGCGUAAAGCGCACGCAGGCGGUCUGUCAAGUCGGAUGUGAAAUCCCCGGGCUCAACCUCGGGAACUGCAUUCGAAACUGGCAGGCUAGAGUCUUGUAGAGGGGGGUAGAAUUCCGGUGUAGCGGUGAAAUGCGUAGAGAUCUGGAGGAAUACCGGUGGCGAAGGCGGCCCCCCCGGACAAAGACUGACGCUCAGGUGCGAAAGCGUGGGGAGCAAACAGGAUUAGAUACCCUGGUAGUCCACGCCGUAAACGAUGUCGAUUUGGAGGUUGUGCCCUUGAGGCGUGGCUUCCGGAGCUAACGCGUUAAAUCGACCGCCUGGGAGUACGGCCGCAAGGUUAAAACUCAAAUGAAUUGACGGGGCCCGCACAAGCGGUGGAGCAUGUGGUUUAAUUCGAUGCAACGCGAAGAACCUUACCUCGGUCUUGACAUCCACAGAACUUUCCAGAGAUGGAUUGGUGCCUUCGGGAACUGUGAGACAGGUGCUGCAUGGCUGUCGUCAGCUCGUGUUGUGAAAUGUUGGGUUAAGUCCCGCAACGAGCGCAACCCUUAUCCUUUGUUGCCAGCGGUCCGGCCGGGAACUCAAAGGAGACUGCCAGUGAUAAACUGGAGGAAGGUGGGGAUGACGUCAAGUCAUCAUGGCCCUUACGACCAGGGCUACACACGUGCUACAAUGGCAUAUACAAAGAGAAGCGACCUCGCGAGAGCAAGCGGACCUCAUAAAGUAUGUCGUAGUCCGGAUUGAGUCUGCAACUCGACUCCAUGAAGUCGGAAUCGCUAGUAAUCGUAGAUCAGAAUGCUACGGUGAAUACGUUCCCGGGCCUUGUACACACCGCCCGUCACACCAUGGGAGUGGGUUGCAAAAGAAGUAGGUAGCUUAACCUUCGGGAGGGCGCUUACCACUUUGUGAUUCAUGACUGGGGUGAAGUCGUAACAAGGUAACCGUAGGGGAACCUGCGGUUGGAUCACCUCCUUA